CGGUAUAAAUACUGAUGUAAAUGUUCAAAUACAAAUUAUAAAGGCUCUUCUAACAGCUGUUACAUCAAGUACUUGUGAAGUUCAUGAAGGAACUUUACUUCAAGCAGUUA
Long non-coding RNA from Xenia sp. Carnegie-2017, 110 nucleotides. RefSeq lists it as uncharacterized. The transcript has 2 exons. Lineage: Eukaryota; Metazoa; Cnidaria; Anthozoa; Malacalcyonacea; Xeniidae. The record is from RefSeq and is a predicted model, not a curated record.